UGGGGAGGCACAGCCUCCCCUAACCAGCCCUCCAUACAAUUUCUGAAACCUGAUGUGGCCCUCAGGCCAGAAAGUUUGCCCGCCCCUGGUUUAGAGCUUUCUAAGUCAAACUCAGCACCUUCAACUCCACUCUGAACCUGGUCAACAUCCAGUGCAUCUCCCGGAGCACUGCUGCCCCGCGCUCCCGAUGCGUUCCUUCACUCCCUUCCCGAGCGGGUUGCUGUAUUCUGCGCCAGCUGCCGUUUGCAAUUGGACUUUUGGUGGUCGGGCUAAUCUGGAGGCGACAAAGGCCUGGGUCACUGGAGCGAGAUCCAUGUCAGAAAGAAACGCAACCUCUGAGGUUCCAGGUAGCCAUGGAGUCUGCAAUGUCUUUGUAAAGACUAGUGGAAAUGUAGGCCACUUUGGAUGAGCAUCAUAAAGAUCUGACCAGGUAUCUCAUGAAGAGAAGAGAAAAAAAUCAGUUUCAUUUUCCCUCUGAGUCACUGAUAGGAGUGGUUCUCGAGCUCUGGGUUACAGUAACAUUCAGAUCAGUCAAGGACACAGAGGCUGGACUAGGAACUGGCGUACACGAGAUCUCCGGCUUACAAAGGGGUCUGGAGGAUGGAGGACAUGGAUACAAGCUGAUCCACACGCAGUUGGAGUUCAACUGGUGCAAGCCAAGCAGCCGCCCCUUUCCAGUUUCCCUGUUCAAACACGGAACGUUAACUUCAAGGAAGCUCUCCGGAUCUGGGCGUACGACCGGCAUCUGCGCUAAACACAGGAUCGGCUUAUCCAGGUGAAGGACUCCAGCUCUCAUCCCCUGCUAUGGCUCCCGUGCACGGGGUCGCACGGGCGGGGCACUUCCGGAUGACAGUCCCCAGGGCUUUGCUGCUCAGCGUGCUGAUUUACAGCACGGUCUCUGAUAUCCGAUGUCCGGAUAAUGUGCCAAGCCCUGGAGAUUGCUCCUAUGUGUUCAGAUCUGUCGCCAAAGGGGGCUCGGUGAGCAUCUCACUUAAGACAUCAGAAACCACCCUGGAUCUCUGCAAGCUGAACAGGUCGACUGCGAAAUGGGAUGCUGUCAGCAGCUUCGUUAAGGGGAACCAGACAAAGCUCAACAGCGGCUUCCAGGAGCAAGUCUCGGUCUCCAAUGGCACCUUCGUGGUGGAGAACGUGAGCCAAGGGGCUGAUGGGAAUUAUGUGUUUCAAGACACCAGUGAAAAGUGCCUGGCUCAGAUAGCACUGACAGUGGUGUGCUCUUCUGGCAGCCCGUCCCAAAGCAGUGCUCAUCAAAAGGGUGAGUGAAAGCUAACUGAGUAGGUUCGGGAGGGAGGGAGGGAGGAAGGGAUCGGGGCAGAGAAAGGCUGGCUUUGUAAUGAAGGCACUUGGGUCAUGCCCAGCUCUGUUAUAGGUGCCUUCUAUGAUCUGGGGUAAAUCUCUCAAUCUCUCUAGGCUGCAGUUCCCUCCAGCUGUAAAGUGAGGAGAGGAAUCCUUCCUUUAUCUGUUCAGACUGGGGCAAUUGACACCAUGUCUGUGUGCAGCCUGAUCUCAGCGGGGGCAGGGACUGUCUCUCGCUGUGUGUCUGUGCGGUGCCUGGCACAAUGGGGCCCUGAUCUAGGCUGGGGCAGGGACUGUCUCUCCCUGUGUCUGUGCAGCGCCUGGCAGAACGGGGCCCUGAUCUGAGCUGGGGCAGGGGACUAUCGCAUACAGUGUGAGAGAAUUGUCCAAAGCUAAAAAUAAACCAAGGUCACCCCGCCUGGAUUUUCCCCUG
Long non-coding RNA from Chrysemys picta bellii (western painted turtle), 1747 nucleotides. Lineage: Eukaryota; Metazoa; Chordata; Testudines; Emydidae. The record is from Ensembl.